Molecule: ribosomal RNA, 675 nt
Filed under: Triticum aestivum (bread wheat)
Lineage: Eukaryota; Viridiplantae; Streptophyta; Magnoliopsida; Poales; Poaceae
Description: partial small subunit ribosomal RNA
Source: RNAcentral
AUGGCGGAGGAACCGUCCGCCAAGCAUCACCAUGGCGAGACUUCAAACAAGAGCAGCAACCUCGUCGACGUUCACGUCCCCGACGAGAAGCACGAGUACACCAAAAUACUCAAAGGGGUUGAGCUCCACGGCAAGGAGAUGUUGGAGAUCGUCUGCACCAGCAAACCAGACAAGGCCGACGAGAUGAUGAGCAGGCUCAGGAUGAAGGGCGGCGGCUUAUAUCCGAGCUUCAUCGGAGUUGAUGUGGAGCCCAAGCGCCUCAAAGACUUCCUGCAGGAGGAGAAAUUGUACACAUUUGUUGGUUUCAGCAUUGGAGGUGACAAGCGGAUGCUGCAGGAGUCUGGUUUGGAAAUCAACCCCAACAACUUCAUCGACAUGCAGCGCAAGUGGAAAGAUCCAAAGACCAAAAAAUACUACGACUCCUUGGCCGAUGUUGCAGGCGGCGUCAUCCACCCAUUCUACGAAGGCAUGAAGAAGAAGAUGAACAUGGCAGGCCACAAACUGUGGGGGACCAGCCCGCUGCCAAACAACCUCAUCACGUACGCAGGAAUAGAUGCGUAUGCAACGUACAAGUCAUGGAAGACAAUCAACAACAUCGUGACAGAUUGGGAUAUUUCAAAAGAGCAGGAGGCUGACCCCUACUACCACUGCAACUUCGCGGAUGAAGAUGCAUGA